RNAcentral lists this ribosomal RNA (495 nucleotides) under Palaemon serrifer. RNAcentral's name for it is "partial small subunit ribosomal RNA". The record is from RNAcentral. Lineage: Eukaryota; Metazoa; Arthropoda; Malacostraca; Decapoda; Palaemonidae.
GAGUGAAAUCCAUAUUUUUAUAGUGUCCUGUUUAGUUUAUAUUAAAUUUAUUUUAAAACUAUUAAGAUUUAGGUUUAAACCAGGAUUAGAUACCCUGUUAUACUGAAAGUAAAAUGUAAUACGCUUGAGUAGUAAUAAGUUAUAAGCUCGAAACUUAAAAGAUUUGGCGGUAUUUAAGUCUAGUUAGAGGAACCUGCUUUAUAAACGAUAUGCCACGAAUUAUCUUACUUUAUUUUGUAUUCAAUUUGUAUACCUCCAUUUUUAAAUAAUAUUUUGAAGUAUUUUUUUAAAUAGAAAAAUUUCUAGUUUAUUAGGUCAAGGUGCAGUUUAUAAUAAAGUAAAUGUGGGUUACAUUAUAUUAUAUUAUCUAUGGAUGAGUAUAUGCAAUUAUAUUCUGAAAUUGGAUUUAAUAGUAUUCUUGAAUUAAUAAGUUAAGAUGAUAAUAGCUCUUUAAUAUGUACACAUCGCCCGUCGCUCUCAUUAUAAAGUGAGAUA